This 185-nucleotide non-coding RNA is filed under the name Sutcliffiella cohnii. RNAcentral's name for it is "Bacillus cohnii 6S / SsrS RNA". It matches the Rfam family "6S / SsrS RNA". Rfam says of the family: E. coli 6S RNA was the first non coding RNA to be sequenced, but its function was unknown until recently. RNAcentral also lists the same sequence under 1 other name. Lineage: Bacteria; Bacillati; Bacillota; Bacilli; Caryophanales; Bacillaceae. The record is from Rfam by way of RNAcentral.
UACAAGCUACUCUGUACGUAAUAAUAAAAAGUUUUAACCUUUAUGCUGUAAUAGGGAGUUUUAAUUAUAGUUGGAAUGUAAUGCCUCCUCGAUUGAGGACUACAUGAACACUUUUGCGAACACCCACUUUGAGGAGUGUGGUUUAAAACUUUCUUAUUUUAAGUUACGGCAAUGGUGGCUUAUGA